CCUACGGGAGGCUGCAGUGGGGAAUUUUGGACAAUGGGCGCAAGCCUGAUCCAGCAAUGCCGCGUGAGUGAAGAAGGCCUUCGGGUUGUAAAGCUCUUUCAGUCGAGAAGAAAAGAUUACUGAUAAUACCAGUAAUCCAUGACGGUAUCGACAGAAGAAGCACCGGCUAACUACGUGCCAGCAGCCGCGGUAAUACGUAGGGUGCGAGCGUUAAUCGGAAUUACUGGGCGUAAAGGGUGCGCAGGCGGUUAUGUAAGUCAGAUGUGAAAUCCCCGGGCUUAACCUGGGAACUGCGUUUGAAACUACAGGACUAGAGUGUGGCAGAGGGGGGUGGAAUUCCAUGUGUAGCAGUGAAAUGCGUAGAGAUAUGGAAGAACAUCGAUGGCGAAGGCAGCCCCCUGGGUUAACACUGACGCUCAUGCACGAAAGCGUGGGGAGCAAACAGGAUUAGAUACCCCGGUAGUC
This 465-nucleotide ribosomal RNA is filed under the name uncultured beta proteobacterium. RNAcentral's name for it is "bacterial SSU rRNA". It matches the Rfam family "Bacterial small subunit ribosomal RNA", at positions 338 to 795 of the family's 1533-position model. Lineage: Bacteria; Pseudomonadati; Pseudomonadota; Betaproteobacteria. The record is from RNAcentral.